UUUUAAUGCUUGCAUACCAUUAAUCUUAAACAUUACACACUGAACUAUCAUUAGUUCAUUAAACAAUAAGAAUCAAAUUAAGAGUCCCAGAAGCUAAUAAUUGAUAUUUUUCCUUUCUAUUUACAAUUAAUUAAUUUCACCUCCUUCAACUUCCUUCACCUCCCCUUGGGCCACAAUAGCUUCAAAUUUGAAGACUGAUAACGGAAACGAUUUGGACAGACCUGCUGGCGUCUUGAAGGUAAUCGAAGCAGCACGGUUGUUAUCAUUGACAUAAAUCUCGCUCAAGGUAAUCCAAAUCAAGAACUCCUUGGCUUUAACACCAGUCAGAUUCUUGAUCUUCUUUCGUUCAAAAUAUGCAGUGACUUCGGUGUCAUAACAGAUUUCUACAUUCUCAAACUUAUAGUAAUCUCUCUUCUUUUUGUGCCUGAGCCAAACAAAGCCAGUAUCCUUAACAUACCCACAUUCCUCUAUCUCUCCUAUUGUUAAGAGACCAUUUGGCAGACCUAUUUCGCUCAGCAGCAACAUAAACUUUUCUCUACAACUCUCGUCUCCAUAAUAAAUCUCAGCCCUGGCUUUCAUGUCCCGUGUCACCGCGGAAAUCUCCCUGCCUCGGUGAAGCUUUGGAAGCAGCUGCAGGUUUGGUGUUGGGACUGUUGGGUGCAUAUUGGAUUCCAAAUGGUUUUUUUCAAAGAAGAAGAUGGAUUGAUAGAGGCAAAAGCAGGAAGUUUAUUAGGUGAUAAUAUAGGGAGAUGGGUACUUCUUUGACUGUUAGGUUUAUUCAAGGAACCUGG
RNAcentral lists this unclassified non-coding RNA (791 nucleotides) under Hevea brasiliensis (rubber tree). Lineage: Eukaryota; Viridiplantae; Streptophyta; Magnoliopsida; Malpighiales; Euphorbiaceae. The record is from RNAcentral.